CGUGUAGGCGGGUCGGUGCGUCGGCCGCUGAAAUCCCCCGGCUCAACCGGGGAAGGGGCGCCGAUACGACCGGCCUGGAGCGACGUAGGGGGAACUGGAACUUCCGGUGGAGCGGUGAAAUGCGUUGAGAUCGGAAGGAACGCCCGUGGCGAAAGCGAGUUCCUGGACGUCGGCUGACACUGAGACGCGAAAGCCAGGGGAGCGAACG
This 208-nucleotide ribosomal RNA is filed under the name uncultured bacterium. Its description in RNAcentral is "partial 16S ribosomal RNA". It matches the Rfam family "Bacterial small subunit ribosomal RNA", at positions 568 to 774 of the family's 1533-position model. The record is from RNAcentral.